Molecule: ribosomal RNA, 253 nt
Filed under: uncultured bacterium
Lineage: Bacteria
Description: partial 16S ribosomal RNA
Rfam family: Bacterial small subunit ribosomal RNA
Source: RNAcentral
UACAGGGGGGGUAAGCGUUGUUCGGAAUUACUGGGCGUAAAGGGCUCGUAGGCGGCCAACUAAGUCAUACGUGAAAUCCCUCAGCUUAACUGGGGAACUGCGUGUGAUACUGGAUGGCUUGGAUUUGGGAGAGGGAUGCGGAAUUCCAGGUGUAGCGGUGAAAUGCGUAGAUAUCUGGAGGAACACCGGUGGCGAAGGCGGCAUCCUGGACCAAUAUUGACGCUGAGGAGCGAAAGCUAGGGGAGCAAACGGG